This 2426-nucleotide long non-coding RNA is filed under the name Anthonomus grandis grandis. RNAcentral's name for it is "uncharacterized LOC126739292". The record is from RNAcentral. Lineage: Eukaryota; Metazoa; Arthropoda; Insecta; Coleoptera; Curculionidae.
AUUCGAUAAAUGCAGUGUAUGUGUUUUCUAACCUUAAAAGCAAUUAUUAGUUUACCGCGAAUUUAGUUUAUCAUGUUUCCUGUGUAAGUGGAAUAGAUUUGCUAUAUCGUAAGGAAAUACAUCUAAAUCGAUAAUAUGAGAAACUUCAAAAGAAAAACCGAAAGGGGACGUAUACCGCUAGACACCUUUCGUAGUGCUGCAAAAGAAGUAUUGGAAAAUAAAAGAUCUCUUAGGACGGUUGCUGAACAAUAUGGUGAAAAUUUCAUGACCCUGUAGAGAUAUUGCAAAAAAAUUUAAAAUAAAGGUAAGUUUACUUUUACAGUUUGUUCAAACACCGUCAGGAUGAGAUUUUUUUAAUUUAUAGAGCUAAAUGAUCUGGAUCCUACGGUUGGCUAUACAAGGAACCGUCAAAUUUUAUCUGAUGCGAUGGAAGCUGAGCUAGAGAAGUACUUAAUAGAGUGUUCUAAAAUGUAUUUUGGUCUGUCAACCAAAGAAGUUCGAAGAUUGGGAUUUGAAUUGGCUAUUAAGAAUAACGCUGAAGUUCGUCAAGCUUGGCAUGAAAACUCAAUGGCCUCAGGAGACUGGUUAUCUGGAUUUCUUAAGCGUCAUCCAAAGCUAUCUUUGCGGACUCCCGAAGCAACCAGUCUGAGCAGAGCAACGAGCUUCAAUCGAGAAAAUGUAUACAGAUUUUUUGAUCUAUUUGAGGAAGUCAUGGAUAGGUACAAAUUUGAAUGCCAAGAUAUUUACAACGUAGAUGAGACGGGGAUUACUACGGUCCAAAAACCAGACAGAAUAAUAGCGAAUAAGGGUGUAAAACAAGUGGGGAGUGUGACUUCUGCCGAAAGAGGUGCUUUAGUUACAAUAGCCCUGGCUGUAAGUACUAGUGGAAAUACAGUUCAUCCAAUAUUUGUUUUCCCUAGAAAAAAUUAUAAAAGUUAUUUUGUUGCAAAUGGCCCAAGCGGAUGUAUUGGAACUGCAAACAAAUCAGGCUGGAUAAUCUAAGAGGACUUCGUCAAAUUGAAUGAUGAUCAUUAGCAUGGUUUUUGUCAGGGUAGAUCUACGGUGACUAACCUGUUGACUUACCAGUAUGAUUUGAUUGGUGCUUUUGAGAGGUCUGUACAGGUCGAUAGUGUGUACACAGACUUCUCGAAGGCCUUUGAUAGGGUUGGUCAUGAACAUCUGGUUCAGAAGUUUGGGGCUAUGGGCCUUGGUAGGACUUUGGUCGAGUUUUGUCACAGUUUUUUGACUGGUCGCACACAGUUGGUCAGGAUAAGUAAUUAUAUUUCUAAUGGUAUUGAAGUAUCUUCAGGCGUGCCUCAAGGUUCGCAUAUUGAACCGGUCUUUUUUAACUUGUUCAUAAGAGAUUUGAGUGAUGUAAUUGUUCAUUCAAAACAUCUUGCUUUUGCUGAUGAUUUUAAACUGUAUAAAGCCAUUGAGUCAUAUCUUGAUGCUGAGCUACUUCAAUUGGAUUUAAAUAGUGUUGCUGAGUGGUGUAAUAGCAAUAGUCUGGAAAUAAAUGUAAAGAAGUGUGUAUGUAUUUCGUUUGGUCGUUCUAAUAAAAUUAUUAAUUAUCAAUAAACAAUCAACAAUAACGAACUCAAGUCAGUUGAUACAGUUAAAGAUUUAGGUGUUCUUUUUGAUACCAAGCUAACUUUUUUGCCGCACAUUUUGGAUAUUAUUAACAGGAGUAUGCGUAGUCUUGGUUUUAUCACUAGAAAUAGUGUACAUCUUUCACCUUAUUGUUUCAAAUUACUUUAUUACUCUUUGGUACGUUCCUUGCUUAAGUAUGCGUCUGUAAUUUGGUCCCCUUAUUAUGAUUCUCAUAUUGAACACCUUGAGGCUGUACAAAGAAGAUUCUUAAGAUCCCUUGCUUAUAGAGCUGAAGUUAAUAUUUUUCGUAAUUAUUACAUCGACUAUAAUGCUAUCAGUGUCCAAUUUAAUAUCCCCAAUCUUGAAGUCAGACGGCAUUAUUCUGAUGCUUUAACGUUUUAUAAGAUCUUAAAUGGCUUAUAUCAUUGUCCUACCAUCUUGGAAGCAAUUCCUUUUAACACCUGUCAAAGAAGGAUUAACUCUUUUAUGUUUCGUUUACCCUUUCAUUCGGCCAACUAUGGGUUUUUUUCUCCACUGAUUAGGACUUUGCGUUUCUUUAAUGAAAAUAGUUUGGAUCCAUUUUCCGGCGGCUUACGGUCAUUCAAAUCAAAAAUAAAUAAUCAUACACUUUAACCUACGUUCCUUGGAUAGUGCUAAGUUUUUAGCCCUGUUGAUGACUGUUUUUUCAAAAGUUUUAUCUUGGUAUAUAUAUAUUUUUUUGUAAUUCUAGUAUUGUAUUUAUAUUGCUAUAUUGUCUAGUAUUUUGUAUUAUCUAUUUUGUUUUUGUAAACUGGCUCUGCCGUAUAUUGAAAUAAAUAAAUAAAUAAAUAAAUAAA